AAUUAGCUGGGCAAGGUGGCGCAUGCCUAUAAUCCCAGCUACUCAGGAGGCUGAGGCAGGAGGAUCACGUGAGCCCAAGGAGUUCGAGUCUGCAGUGAGUUAUGUUUGUACAACUGCACUCCAGCCUGGACAACAGCAUGAGACCUUAUGUCUGAAAAA
Long non-coding RNA from Sapajus apella (tufted capuchin), 159 nucleotides. RefSeq lists it as uncharacterized. NCBI's taxonomy places the organism in Eukaryota, Metazoa, Chordata, Mammalia, Primates, Cebidae. The transcript has 2 exons. The record is from RefSeq and is a predicted model, not a curated record.